Molecule: ribosomal RNA, 497 nt
Filed under: uncultured bacterium
Lineage: Bacteria
Description: partial 16S ribosomal RNA
Rfam family: Bacterial small subunit ribosomal RNA
Source: RNAcentral
GAUGAACGCUGGCGGCGUGCCUAAUACAUGCAAGUAGAGCGAACGGAGGAGAAGUUGCUUCCCUUGAUGAUAGCGGCGGGCGGGUGAGAAACAUAUGGAAACUCCACGUAUGAGAGGGGGAAAACUUGGGGAAGCUGGAGCUUAUAGCGGAAAAUAAUAUGUACCGCAACGUUUAAAUGAGAAAGACAGUCUCAUUGCUACUAGAAGAAGGUUCCGUGCUGUAUCAGCUAGUUGGUAAGGUAACGGCUUACCAAGGCAACGAUGCAUAGCCGACCUGAGAGGGUGAUCGGCCACACUGGAACUGAGACACGGUCCAGCCUCCUACGGGAGGCAGCAUUAGGGAAUCUUCCGCAAUGGGCGAAAUCCUGACGGAGCAACGCCGCUUGAUUGAUGAAGUUCUUCGGAUCUUAAAACUCUGUUAUUAGGGAAGAACAUUUGUGUAAGUAACUGUGCACAUCUUGACGGUACCUAAUCAGAAAGCCACGGCUAACUACGUG